AGGACGAACGCUGGCGGCGUGCUUAACACAUGCAAGUCACGGGGGCUGGCGCAAGCCAGUAACCGGCGAACGGGUGCGUAACACGUGAGCGACCUGCCUUAUCGAGGGGGAUAGCCGGCCCAACGGCCGGGUAAUACCGCAUACGCUUGUUUGGGGGCAUCCCUGGACAAGGAAACCUCCGGGGCGAUGAGAGGGGCUCGCGGCCUAUCAGCUAGUUGGCGGGGUAACGGCCCACCAAGGCGAUGACGGGUAGC
This 254-nucleotide ribosomal RNA is filed under the name uncultured bacterium. RNAcentral describes it as "partial small subunit ribosomal RNA". It matches the Rfam family "Bacterial small subunit ribosomal RNA", at positions 26 to 287 of the family's 1533-position model. The record is from RNAcentral.